CCCUUAGAUGUUCUGAACCGCACGCGUGUUACACUGAUGCAUUCAACGAGCUUUACCUUGGCCGAGAGGCCUGGGAAAUCUUUUUAGCAUGCAUCGUGAUAGGGAUUGAUUAUUGCAAUUAUUAAUCAUGAACGAGGAAUUCCUAGUAAACGCAUUUCAUCAAAAUGCAUUGAUUACGUCCCUGCCCUUUGUACACACCGCCCGUCGCACCUACCGAUUGAGUGGUCCGGUGAAGUCUCGAGAUUGUGGCAAUCUCCUUUAUUGGGGUUUGACUGCGAGAACUUGCCUAAACCUUAUCACUUAGAGGAAGGUGAAGUCGUAACA
RNAcentral lists this ribosomal RNA (324 nucleotides) under uncultured eukaryote. RNAcentral describes it as "partial 18S ribosomal RNA". It matches the Rfam family "Eukaryotic small subunit ribosomal RNA", at positions 1470 to 1796 of the family's 1831-position model. The record is from RNAcentral.